GUGCCAGCAGCCGCGGUAAUUCCAGCUCCAAUAGCGUAUAUUAAAGUUGUUGUGGUUAAAAAGCUCGUAGUUGAACCUUGGGCCUGGCUGGCCGGUCCGCCUCACCGCGUGCACUGGUCCGGCCGGGCCUUUCCCUCUGUGGAACCCCAUACCCUUCACUGGGCGUGGCGGGGAAACAGGACAUUUACUUUGAAAAAAUUAGAGUGCUCCAGGCAGGCCUAUGCUCGAAUACAUUAGCAUGGAAUAAUAAAAUAGGACGCGCGGUUCUAUUUUGUUGGUUUAUAGGACCGCCGUAAUGAUUAAUAGGGACAGUCGGGGGCAUCAGUAUUCAACUGUCAGAGGUGAAAUUCUUGGAUCAGUUGAAGACUAACUACUGCGAAAGCAUUUGCCAAGGAUGUUUUCAUUAAUCAGGAAUGAAAGUUAGGGGAUCGAAGACGAUCAGAUACCGUCGUAGUCUUAACCAUAAACUAUGCCGACUAGGGAUCGGACGGUGUUAUUCAUGACCCGUUCGGCACCUUACGAGAAAUCAAAGUGCUUGGGCUCCAGGGGGAGUAUGGUCGCAAGGCUGAAACUUAAAGAAAUUGACGGGAAGGGCACCACCAGGGGUGGAGCCUGCGGCUUAAUUUGACUCAACACGGGGAAACUCACCAGGUCCAGACACAAUAAGGAUUGACAGAUUGAGAGCUCUUUCUUGAUUUUGUGGGUGGUGGUGCAUGGCCGUUCUUAGUUGGUGGGGGUGACUUGUCUGCUUAAUUGCGAUAACGAA
RNAcentral lists this ribosomal RNA (766 nucleotides) under uncultured fungus. Its description in RNAcentral is "SSU rRNA". It matches the Rfam family "Eukaryotic small subunit ribosomal RNA", at positions 564 to 1335 of the family's 1831-position model. Lineage: Eukaryota; Fungi. The record is from RNAcentral.